ACCUGGACCCGGUACAAUUGGUGCUUCGCCAGUUGGACUUUCGGUUGAAAACGUUCCGCUUGUUGUAUAGAUUGUUGUUGGAACGGGAGUUGGCGGAGCGGUAGUUAAUUGCCCUUCGCUGGGUACUAUCAGCACUCCUAUUAUGAGGAAAUAGAACAAAUUUGAGAUGACGUCCAUUACGGUAUUCUCUUAUUAUCAGCAGCUCACUUGUCAGCUUUAUUCGGAUUAAUUCACAUUUAGUACACGGGGAAAUUUUAAAAGCCCUCUUGUGAGGUGACACGUCGCCGGACCAAUGCGGCUUCAAUUAAAAAAUUGUGGUUAACCAUUGGC
Non-coding RNA from Paramuricea clavata, 330 nucleotides. NCBI's taxonomy places the organism in Eukaryota, Metazoa, Cnidaria, Anthozoa, Malacalcyonacea, Plexauridae. The record is from the annotation of a GenBank genome assembly.